CGACCUCAAAUCAGGUAGGACUACCCGCUGAACUUA
Molecule: ribosomal RNA, 36 nt
Filed under: Lodderomyces parapsilosis
Lineage: Eukaryota; Fungi; Ascomycota; Pichiomycetes; Serinales; Debaryomycetaceae
Description: Candida parapsilosis partial 28S ribosomal RNA
Source: RNAcentral